UACGGAGGGUGCAAGCGUUAUCCGGAUUUACUGGGUUUAAAGGGCGCGUAGGCGGGCUAUCAAGUCCGGGGUGAAAUCCUCCAGCUUAACUGGAGAACUGCCUCGGAUACGGAUGGUCUCGAGGAGGAUAGGGGCACACGGAACUGUGGGUGGAGCGGUGAAAUGCGCAGAUAUCAGGAAGAACACCAGCGGCGAAGGCGGCACUCUGGGCCGGAACUGACGCUGAGGAGCGAAAGCGUGGGGAGCAAACAGG
This 253-nucleotide ribosomal RNA is filed under the name uncultured bacterium. RNAcentral's name for it is "partial 16S ribosomal RNA". It matches the Rfam family "Bacterial small subunit ribosomal RNA", at positions 524 to 776 of the family's 1533-position model. The record is from RNAcentral.